CCUACGGGUGGCUGCAGUGGGGAAUAUUGGACAAUGGGCGAAAGCCUGAUCCAGCCAUGCCGCGUGUGUGAAGAAGGCCUUCGGGUUGUAAAGCACUUUCAGUGGGGAAGAAAGCCUUGGGGCUAAUACCCUCGAGGAAGGACAUCACCCACAGAAGAAGCACCGGCUAACUCCGUGCCAGCAGCCGCGGUAAUACGGAGGGUGCGAGCGUUAAUCGGAAUUACUGGGCGUAAAGCGCGCGUAGGCGGUCUGAUAAGCCGGUUGUGAAAGCCCCGGGCUCAACCUGGGAACGGCAUCCGGAACUGUCAGGCUAGAGUGCAGGAGAGGACGGUAGAAUUCCCGGUGUAGCGGUGAAAUGCGUAGAGAUCGGGAGGAAUACCAGUGGCGAAGGCGGCCUUCUGGACUGACACUGACGCUGAGGUGCGAAAGCGUGGGUAGCAAACAGGAUUAGAUACCCGAGUAGUC
Molecule: ribosomal RNA, 465 nt
Filed under: Vreelandella stevensii
Lineage: Bacteria; Pseudomonadati; Pseudomonadota; Gammaproteobacteria; Oceanospirillales; Halomonadaceae
Description: partial 16S ribosomal RNA
Rfam family: Bacterial small subunit ribosomal RNA
Source: RNAcentral